This 253-nucleotide ribosomal RNA is filed under the name uncultured bacterium. RNAcentral describes it as "partial 16S ribosomal RNA". It matches the Rfam family "Bacterial small subunit ribosomal RNA", at positions 524 to 776 of the family's 1533-position model. The record is from RNAcentral.
UACGUAGGGAGCAAGCGUUGUCCGGAAUCAUUGGGCGUAAAGCGCACGUAGGCGGUUUGUUAUGUCGGAUGUGAAAGCCCUUGGCUCAACUGAGGAAGUGCAUCCGAAACUGGCAAGCUAGAGUACUAAAGAGGGUCGCGGAAUUCCCGGUGUAGAGGUGAAAUUCGUAGAUAUCGGGAGGAACACCAGUGGCGAAGGCGGCUCACUGGCCCGAUACUGACGCUGAGGCACGAAAGCGUGGGGAGCAAACAGG